UUGAGUAAUGUAGGAUCCUAAAAGUUUUUUCAAUUGUUGUUGCCGUCUUCACUUUUACACACCCACCCACACCAAACAUAAGCCAUCUCCGAUUUCCCUCCCAAAGCCUCCGAAAGAAACCUCAAUCACUUACCUACUCAGAGAGCUAACCCCCGCCUUCAACUACUCGGAGUGUGAGGCCCUGAACCUUGGAGACAAUCUUUAUACUCUCAAGCAUUAUCGCUCCGACAUCGAACGCCAAUCUGACUGGGGAAUUUUUUUUUUUUUUUUUUUUUUUUUUCUAUAAGUGUCUUAGAUACUUUGCCCCUGCCCUCAAUCUAGUCUCUCACGGCUUACGUGGAGGAGUACCAGACGUUACUCGUUGAUGGCUAAUGCUAAAUCCUCAAAUCUUUCUGAAGGAUUUCAAAGUCGCCAUUCCAGAGCACUUUCUCGUAUCCGCUCCUUCUCUUCUUCCACCAUUACAACCAGCACUAACACUAACCUUAACCUAACCUUACUGAUACGAAUUCGGUACCCGACCAGCUUAGUGAAGCAUCGAAAGAGAAGGGUAAUGCCUCAUGUCCCCAAGCUCGAUUGGGAGUGGAGGAAAAAUUUGUAGGUCUGGGGAAGGGCCUUCUUCAGUGGAGAAUAAGGAUAGAAGAGGAGUAGACUUUGAUGGGUUUCCGACGGAACCCGUCAAUGGAUCUGUUUCUUUGACUGGUAGUGCGAAUUCACAAGAUGUCCGAGUCGAGAAAGUUGAUGAAUUGUCGAACCCUACCUGGGCAGUAUUGGGUGAGGUGUGGAUGUGAUGAAGGUUAACCCCAAAAACUGCAUGAGCAUUGACGGCCAACUGAUGAAAGACACAAGGCACUAGUGAUACUGCUGGCAAACCCACCGUGCUGCUAUCUUUUAUAUUAUUUCACUCUUAAUAUUCAAAGUGCCAUAUGUUGUUGUAUGCAUAUAUGCCUUCCAUUUCUUUUACUUCUUUCUCCAUCAAUAUCAUUGCCUAAACAACAAUAUAUGUGUGUGUGUAUACAUAUAUAUAUAUGUGUGUGUGUGUGUGUGUGUGUGUGUGUGUGUUUCUAUCUCAUGAUCCUUGAACAUUUCAAUCUUCUAUGUAUAACAAUAUAUGUGUGUAUAUACAUAUAUAUGUGUGUGUGUGUGUGUGUUUCUAUCUCAUGAUCCUUGAACAUUUCAAUCUUCUAGUGGACUUGAUACAUAUAUGCAACAUUAGUGCAUGCGUUUGUUUCUUUGCUUUUCUGGGGUCUGAUCAUCUGAUCAUCUAUCUGGCUUAUUUAUCAUAUUCAACUAAUACAUUUUUUUUAAAAUUUUUUUAUUUGACACUAAUUACUUUUAUCCCAAAGAUGCUGAUUGGAUAUGAAAAAAUAAAAAAGAAUGGACCUGACAGUUUGCCUUUCUACCGAUUGCAGCACACACUUUUUCUGCAACAAGAGAGUGUUCCUUAGCUGACAAAUGUUUAGCUAUUCCCACUGCUCUCUUGUGUUGUGCCUGUAUAAUUUCCUGGCUCCAGACACUCUUUUCUAGCCCCAGUCAACAAAGCAUUACCCUUUUUUAAUAUUCUACUCUUUCUUGCUAUAUUGCUUCAACUUUUCUUAUUUUUCCACUCCAAUUCAUUAUCAGAUUUUAAGCAUAUUAUUUACAAAAGGAAAAAGGAAUUUAGGCAUAUUGUAAUUAAGAGGUGAAUAUAGGGUAGAGGAAAUUAUAUAAAUGGAGAUAGACUAAAAUAUAAAAGACAAUUAGCAUGGAAGGCUCAUUACAGAGUUCUUAGAAAAGCAGAGAUUAGCACUAAUGCAGUAAGAUUUUUUUUUAGUUAUUAUUAUCCUCUAGCUAGCUAGCCUUACAAUACUCAUGCACAUAUAGCAUAACGCAGAAAAAUAAGUGGUGAUAGAUUCUUCAAACUUGUACUUCUAAUUUUUACUUAUUGUAGACCAAGUGGUCCGGAUUCUUUCAUGCACACCAUGUGAGUACUCAUCCUCGGUAAUGGAUGCAAAAGAGUUCCUAUAAUGUUAUGUUAUUUCUGGGUCAUUAUGAUCAGAUCGGUCUUUUCUUUUUGUUCUUGUUAAUGUAGUUUGCUUAAAAUUAUGAAGCUCGUGUUGAAGGUAAUUUGCAUUUUAUGCUUUUUAAUUGAAUAUGUGAUGAUUUAUACUUUAUACAAUUGUUCUUAUUAUUUAAUUUUUUUUUCUCUCUUUUUUUUUUUUUUUUUUGGUAUGAGUCAUUAGAUGUGGAUGCUAAAUCAUUCUAUGAUUCAGAUUUAUCUAACGGCAUGCUUUGCAGAGGUGAACAUAGAUAUUGUUAGAUUAAUACAUGCCUUUUUGUGGGUCACAAGCUGGAACUCUUACUAUAUUGAUGGGGAUAUUUUAAGGAUUGCUGUUUUGCUACUAGUCCAACCAUCAAAGAUGACACACUACAUUGUUGAUUAGCACUAUAUUGAUGUGGAGCCUCCAAUCCUUUAACAGAGUGAAGGCAGUGCAUAGCCUGCAUGUCUCUUUUGCCGGCAAUGUCAAUGGCGUGGAGGAUAAAUAUUUUAAAGGAGAUGAUAAAGAUGGAAAGGAACAAUGAAUUGUGGCAGGGCUAGUGGUAGCCAUGGCAUUCAUUUUGUGGUAAACAGGUGGACCACUCUAGGGCGUAGACGGCAAUUCCAACGAGAUUUUGGGUGCUGCGUGCGGCAGAUUCUGGGCAAAUCGAGCUGCGAGACUAUUGCCAAUGCACAGAUCUGCAAAAGGCCAUUCAUUUGGUAUCGCUGGUGGUGCUUCGAUGUUGGUGGUGGACGUCGGCGUGAAUGGCCACUUUAACCGUGAGUUGCAGCGCCACGAAUGGCGUUUUCCGGCUAACUCUAGCUACAAGGCUGCCAUGGUUUCACAGUUCAUGUUGGUUCGUCUAUUCAUUUGUGGUGGACCCGUUGAUGUUCUUCUGAUGUAAAAAAAUUAGAAACUUGGACUAAUUUUAAAAAUUGUACAAAAAAAAAAAAAAAAAAAAGGUCAAAAGGGUUUUAAAGUAAUCUAAGUAAUAAAAAACAAUUUAAAAAGAAAUUUUGAUGGUGCAAAUAGCAUUACUCAAAUAUAUAAUAUGUCAAAAUUUUUAUUAAAUUAUGAAUGUGAUUAUUGGUUGUCUA
This is a long non-coding RNA of Ziziphus jujuba (common jujube), 3112 nucleotides long. RefSeq lists it as uncharacterized. Lineage: Eukaryota; Viridiplantae; Streptophyta; Magnoliopsida; Rosales; Rhamnaceae. The record is from RefSeq and is a predicted model, not a curated record. The transcript is spliced from 5 exons.